GUUGUAGGAUUGGAUUGGAUUCUCAAGUGAUUUUGUAGAUUCAGCUCAGCAUAGGAUGUUGUAGGAUUGGAUUGGAUUCUCAAGUGAUUUUGUAGAUUCAGCUCAGCAUAGGAUGUUGUAGGAUUGGAUGAUCUAAGUGAUUUUGUAGAUUCAGCUCAGCAUAGGAUGUUGUAGGAUUGGAUUGGAUUCUCAAGUGAUUUUGUAGAUUCAGCUCAGCAUAGGAUGUUGUAGGAUUGGAUUGGAUUCUCAAGUGAUUUUGUAGAUUCAGCUCAGCAUAGGAUGUUGUA
This 287-nucleotide long non-coding RNA is filed under the name Theobroma cacao (cacao). Its description in RNAcentral is "long non-coding RNA (TCAC_LNC000015)". Lineage: Eukaryota; Viridiplantae; Streptophyta; Magnoliopsida; Malvales; Malvaceae. The record is from RNAcentral.